This 73-nucleotide transfer RNA is filed under the name Cordylochernes scorpioides. RNAcentral describes it as "tRNA-His". It matches the Rfam family "tRNA". Rfam says of the family: Transfer RNA (tRNA) molecules are approximately 80 nucleotides in length. Their secondary structure includes four short double-helical elements and three loops (D, anti-codon, and T loops). Lineage: Eukaryota; Metazoa; Arthropoda; Arachnida; Pseudoscorpiones; Chernetidae. The record is from RNAcentral.
CCAUCGGUGGUUCAGUGGUAGAAUGCUCGCCUGUGCCACGCGGGCGGCCCGAAUUCGAUUUCAGGCCGAUGCA